Daphnia magna is the source of this 1877-nucleotide long non-coding RNA. RefSeq lists it as uncharacterized. The transcript has 4 exons. The record is from RefSeq and is a predicted model, not a curated record. Lineage: Eukaryota; Metazoa; Arthropoda; Branchiopoda; Diplostraca; Daphniidae.
GACUCAGUGUUACAUUUUUUUAAUUUUUUUUUUGUGUCAGUUCAUUGCUACGUAUCUUGAGGGAACGUGACAUUGGACCACCCGACAGUAGCCCUUAAGGGUAUCCGUCUUCUAUUUUAGAAUCAGCUCUUUAGAUUUCAAAGGUUCAAGGUUUAAUUGUAAUAUACCACUAUCACGAUUAUGUCACAUUAUUACCUCAUAAUAGGUGUGGACAGGUGUGCACAGCUCUUAUUUUUUCACUGAGUUCCUUUUAAAUGUCGGUCUGGUUUCCAACGUAUGUCCUGAAUUUCAGAAGGGGGGGCUGGUGUUGAAUGCCUCAUCGACACCAGCCCUUACUUGAACGAAUUUCCCAAGGGGGGGCUAGUGUCGGGGGUCCAAUUUCGCAUUCGCGGCCGCAAUCACAGACGAAGCUUCGUGGUGGUCUCAAGUCAGGAGACAGACGACGAAGCUUCGUGUUGGUCUCGAGUCAGGAGACAGACGACGAACGCAACCAUAGCAGCAACAGCAGCAGGAGCCCUUGUCCUCAACAGAAGUUCAAUCAACAAACCUCAUAGCAUUCACAAUAGUUCUUCAAACAGCCCGAGCGCUUGCAGUGGCAUCCCUUAUUAUGACGUCUGGGUUCUGGACCCCAACCGACACCAAUUUUAGGUUUAAAGGCGUGUGGAUUACGAUCCAGGCAAGAUCUUAUUGCACGCAAACGUAGUUCUUCAUGCUCCAAGUUAUUGGCGCAGCAGACGCAAUUACAGCCGUGGCAAAACUCGCCAUUGGCAAAACAAUCACAAUAACUUUUGAGGCACUGUGACUUGGUACAGUUGCAUGGCUUGCGAGGUUUGAGGCCAUUUGAUUCCAACACGCUUUGUGCUUUUGCUUGAGAAGCAGCCGUCGACAUUUGAGCAGACUCGGGAGAAGGCGGAGGAGCUGCUUUUGGUUGCUGUGACAAACGAGGGGUCGCACUCGAACUAGUGACUAUUGGUGAUGUGAUCGAUUCCGAAACGACAGUAGCAGCACUGGUUGUAACAGCCGAGAAGUUCGUUGUUGCUGGCGAACUAUUUGUCCCCAUUGAAUUCUUAAGAUAACAGCGCGAAACAGAAUUUGAUUAAAAAUACGUCAUAGUAUUGUAGAAGUGGGUCGAUCUAUGCUGAAAAAACGUAAAGCGAAAAGUAAUUAGGAUGCUCACUUGAGAAGAAUACUGAGCUGGAACCAUCACAAUGUUGCUUGUCAGUGAAUUCAUCGAUCCAGCUGGCAGUAUUAUACGUUGAGCUCCCUGCGGUACACUAACUGUUGAGAUUGCACCCUUUGCUUGCCCAAGCGUCUUUGUUACGGAUGGAAGGGUACCUUUGACUGAUUGCUGGGUCACUGUGCUGUUUGAUGGGUGGAUCUGCAGGGCAAGAAACAGUGGUGAUUAUGACAAUACCAAAAAUUUUUAGUUAAUCUCACUUUAAUGGAGUUUGCAGUAGUUGCGCCUAUUAGAACUUUUGAGGUUCCUGGUGCCGUGAUUAAGUUUCCCGUUCCAUUAUUUCCACCAGUUGGAUUGACGACGCGAACUAAUUGUAUCUAAGACAGGUAUAUUCUCAUUUUUAUUAUAAACUUUUACGUGAAACCAUCGAUACAACCUUGUUUCCCGCAAGCUGGAAAUGCUGCUGAGUUCCACUUUGUUCUCCUUGUGGACCCAUUGCGGGAAGGAUUCCAGCAGCUAAUGCUUGAGCCGUUGUUAGCCGUAUGUAUUGUGCUGGUUGUGUUCCACUACUUUGCCGGACUACAUACAAAAGAAAAAUUUGAAAAAUUCUAUGUAAUCGCACGUGACAUUAAAAGAUAAAUUAACGAGGAGAACGGAGAAAAAAACUCCCAAAUUGUAAUACAUCGACAUGUUUUAUGUA